UUCCGGUUGAUCCUGCCGGAGGGAACCCCUAUCGGGUUCAGACUAAGCCAUGCGAGUCGGCUGGGGGCACUUGCCCCUGGCGGCGCACGGCUCAGUAAUACGCGGUCAACCUACCCUGGGGACCGGGAUAACCUCGGGAAACUGAGGCUAAUCCCGGAUGGGUGUAGGGUGCUGAAAUGCCCCUACGCCGAAAGUAGGCGGGAAAUGGACCGCUGAGGCCCCAGGAUGGGACCGCGGCCUAUCAGGUAGUAGGUGGGGUAACGGCCCACCUAGCCUACGACGGGUACGGGCCCUGAGAGGGGGAGCCCGGAGAUGGGCACUGAGACAAGGGUCUAGGCCCUAAGGGGCGCAGCAGGCGCGAAGAUUCCGCAAUGCCCGAAAGGGCGACGGAGUGAACCCGAGUGCCACCCGCUGAGGGUGGCUGUUCCCCUGUGUAAAAAGCAGGGGGUAGGAAGGGGAGGGCAAGGCUGGUGGCAGCCGCCGCGGUAAAACCAGCUCCCCGAGGGGUUCCCACGCAUACUGGGCCUAAAGCGUCCGUAGCCGGCCCUGUAAGUCCGCAGUUAAAUCCGCCUGUAGACAGGCGGGCUGCUGCGGAUACUGCAGGGCUAGGGAGCGGGAGGAGCCGGGGGUAUUCCCGGGGGAGCGGUAAAAUGCGUAGAUCCCGGAAGGACCACCAGUGGCGAAGGCGCCCGGCUUGAACGCGUCCCGACGGUGAGGGAC
This 720-nucleotide ribosomal RNA is filed under the name uncultured archaeon. RNAcentral describes it as "bacterial SSU rRNA". It matches the Rfam family "Archaeal small subunit ribosomal RNA", at positions 1 to 705 of the family's 1478-position model. The record is from RNAcentral.